UAGAGUUUGAUCCUGGCUCAGAUUGAACGCUGGCGGCAGGCCUAACACAUGCAAGUCGAACGGUAGCACAGAGAGCUUGCUCUCGGGUGACGAGUGGCGGACGGGUGAGUAAUGUCUGGGAAACUGCCUGAUGGAGGGGGAUAACUACUGGAAACGGUAGCUAAUACCGCAUAAUGUCGCAAGACCAAAGAGGGGGACCUUCGGGCCUCUUGCCAUCGGAUGUGCCCAGAUGGGAUUAGCUUGUUGGUGAGGUAACGGCUCACCGAGGCGACGAUCCCUAGCUGGUCUGAGAGGAUGACCAGCCACACUGGAACUGAGACACGGUCCAGACUCCUACGGGAGGCAGCAGUGGGGAAUAUUGCACAAUGGGCGCAAGCCUGAUGCAGCCAUGCCGCGUGUAUGAAGAAGGCCUUCGGGUUGUAAAGUACUUUCAGCGAGGAGGAAGGCGGUAAGGUUAAUAACCUUAUCGAUUGACGUUACUCGCAGAAGAAGCACCGGCUAACUCCGUGCCAGCAGCCGCGGUAGUACGGAGGGUGCAAGCGUUAAUCGGAAUUACUGGGCGUAAAGCGCACGCAGGCGGUCUGUCAAGUCGGAUGUGAAAUCCCCGGGCUCAACCUGGGAACUGCAUUCGAAACUGGCAGGCUAGAGUCUUGUAGAGGGGGGUAGAAUUCCAGGUGUAGCGGUGAAAUGCGUAGAGAUCUGGAGGAAUACCGGGUGGCGAAGCGGCCUCCUGGACAAAGACUGACGCUCAGUGCGAAAGCGUGGGGAGCAAACAGGAUUAGAUACCCUGGUAGUCCACGCCGUAAACGAUGUCGACUUUGGAGGUGUGCCCUUGAGGCGUGCCACUGAGCUUACGCGUAGGUCGACGCUUGGGCAGUACCGGACGCAGGUAAACCUCAAUGAAAUUGACGGGGUCC
Molecule: ribosomal RNA, 917 nt
Filed under: uncultured bacterium
Lineage: Bacteria
Description: bacterial SSU rRNA
Rfam family: Bacterial small subunit ribosomal RNA
Source: RNAcentral